GCAGGCUAGGUGAAUGACAGGAAGGAGACUUUUGUAGGGUGGUAACUGGACGUUUUCUCUAGGAGUGUCUGGGAAAAACGCAGGCGAUACCAAACGUUUUCUGGGACCCUCCCUGUGUGACGUCAGCUCCGGCCCCGAUCAGCCUGUUUGUAUCGCACUGUAGGAGGAGUAAGUCCUGGGCUACGCACAGACUGGAAAAAUCAUUCGAUGUACACUUACGUUCGGGAGGCAGAAGUCGGGAUUCCAGUGCCGGCAUUUUUAUCCAUGUGGGGAUCCCGCACCAGCAUUCUGACCAAUGUUGGUAUUCCGGCAUCAGCAUUCCAAAUGCCGAUAUCCUGAACGCCGAAAUAGGAGGAAAAGAAAAGAAAGAGGAAAAUAAGAGAAAAGAAAAGAACAGAAAAGAUUAUAGUAAAGUAUACAGCAAAGAAAAAGAGUUGGGAAAGGGAAAGGAAGAGGGGGAAGCUCCCAUCCAACUGGAGAAUUGUCAAAAACAUUGUUAAAACAUCUGGUAUUCAAUAAACAGAAUGUCUACCUGAAGAUACAAGUGUCAAUACAGUUUUUGUUUCAAACAUAUAUUAUAUAUGAAGUUGAAUUCCAACUCUUCGUUAAAUAAUCAGACAUUAGACUUGCGGUAGAGCUCAUACCAAGAUAUAACACAGACAUCCUCUUGUACAGCAGAAUAAUAGAGACCCUUAUGUAUUCAUAUCAUAGAUGGAUUGCUCUGGGAACCUAUAACUGAGUCAAACUCUUUCAUUAUAUCUGUUUGCAACGAGCCAUUAAGAAAAUUGAUAUACUGAAUACUUCCCACUUCUUGUAGAACUUAAACAUUCCUUUGUCCAGAUCUGGAAAUGCUGUCCUUCUAUCAAAAUACAAGGUUUCUAUCAAUUGAUUUUGGACUUCAGGGAGGUAGGGAGCUACCGGUUUAGUCCAGUUUUUUAGAAGAGCCAUUUUUGCUAUCGUUAAAGUAAUUGUUAGAAUUGGAAGGAGACCAUACACACUAUGUUCCCGUAUAAGCGCCAUCCAGAUCUCAAAGUUGCAGAACAGAAUGGGUAUCACAUGUAACGUAAAUUGGAUAUUUGCUAUUUGUUUAAUGAACCCCAAGAUUUUGUUCCAGAAUUUAACCACCUUUCGACACUUCCAAAAACAGUGUUACAAAGAGGCUCCGGGCCUUUUGCACUUAAGGCAUAUACCAGACCUUCAAUUACAAAAUAGCUGCGUUGCAAUCGAGAUAUAAAUGCUCUAUUAAUAAACUUUAUAUGAGUUUCUAAGAGAGUGGAACAAUGUAAAUAUUUUAAUGUCUUAUAGUAAUAUUUAAGUAUGUAGUCUGACUCUUCUACUCCUACUAUACAAGUUGCCCAAGUCGCAGAAGAGCGUGACCAUAACUUUGAUAGGUCUGUCUCUAUUAAAUCUGAAUAGAGAAUGCUAAUUUUAUAAGGUUUAGACUAGAGCUAAUAUAUCUGAGAUGGGUUGGUUUUGAGAUACUAACAGAAAUGUUUGUUCAUAAUGGGGGUCAUUCCGAGUUGUUCGCUCGUUAUAUUUUUAUCGCAACGGAGCGAUUAGUCGCUAAUGCGCAUGCGCAAUGUCCGCAGUGCGACUGCGCCAAGUAAAUUUGCUAUGCAGUUAGGUAUUUUACUCACGGCAUUACGAGGUUUUUUCUUCGUUCUGGUGCUCGUAAUGUGAUUGACAGGAAGUGGGUAUUUCUGGGCGGAAACUGGCCGUUUUAUGGGUGUGUGCGAAAAAACGCUACCGUUUCUGGGAAAAACGCGGGAGUGGCUGGAGAAACGAAGGAGUGUCUGGCCGAACGCUGGGAGUGUUUGUGACGUCAAACCAGGAACGAAACUGACUGAACUGAUCGCAGUUGCCGAGUAAGUGUGGAGCUACUCAGAAACUGCUAAGAAGUGUCUAUUCGCAAUUUUGCUAAUCUUUCGUUCGCAAUUUUGAUAAGCUAAGAUUCACUCCCAGUAGGCGGCGGCUUAGCGUGUGCAAAGCUGCUAAAAGCAGCUUGCGAGCGAACAACUCGGAAUGAGGGCCCAUGUUGGAAUUGCAAACACAUAAAGAAAUCUGACCUUGGGAUCCCAAAUCGGUCUUGAAGUUGCUGAAAGGAGUACAUCACACCUCCUGGGUCAAAGACAUCUUUUAUCUGUGCAAUUCCCAAUUCUUUCCAGUUCAUGAAUUUUUUAUCUUCAAUGCUUUGCAAGAAGUUUAAAUUACUCCAUAUAGGCAUAUAUUUUGUUGUA
Molecule: long non-coding RNA, 2237 nt
Organism: Pseudophryne corroboree (corroboree frog)
Lineage: Eukaryota; Metazoa; Chordata; Amphibia; Anura; Myobatrachidae
Exons: 3
Source: RefSeq, a predicted model, not a curated record